This 253-nucleotide ribosomal RNA is filed under the name uncultured bacterium. RNAcentral's name for it is "partial 16S ribosomal RNA". It matches the Rfam family "Bacterial small subunit ribosomal RNA", at positions 524 to 776 of the family's 1533-position model. The record is from RNAcentral.
UACGGAGGGUGCAAGCGUUAUCCGGAUUCACUGGGUUUAAAGGGUGCGUAGGUGGGUUGGUAAGUCAGUGGUGAAAUCUCCGGGCUCAACCCGGAAACUGCCAUUGAUACUAUCUGUCUUGAAUAUUGUUGAGGUAGGCGGAAUAUAUCAUGUAGCGGUGAAAUGCAUAGAUAUGAUAUAGAACACCGAUUGCGAAGGCAGCCUACUAAACAAUUAUUGACGCUGAGGCACGAAAGCGUGGGGAUCAAACAGG